RNAcentral lists this long non-coding RNA (209 nucleotides) under Lathyrus oleraceus (garden pea). Its description in RNAcentral is "Pisum sativum (pea) long non-coding RNA (PSAT_LNC025707)". Lineage: Eukaryota; Viridiplantae; Streptophyta; Magnoliopsida; Fabales; Fabaceae. The record is from RNAcentral.
CUUUAUCUAUUGAUGAUGAAUUGAAGAAGGUUGGGGCACCCAUUUCUUCUCUGAAGGAUUCCAAAGAGGUUGUUCAGAAUGGUACGAUAGAUGGGGUCGCAUUGUGGAAGUCAUUAAAAAUAAGAAUAAAGUAGGGUUGGGAUUUAAGCAAGGGUCAUUUAAUGCCAAUGUCAAGUCUAUGCAAGAAGUUUUUCGCAGUGGAGGGUUCA